UCGCGUGAGUAACCUAAUUCAUCCAUCAAUAGAUUUCACGUUUCACGAAAUUCUAACGAUCUUAAAUAAAAGAAAUUCACUGUUCGUAAAUCCCUAAUCUAAACAACACAAAAUAUCAUGCACGCAGAAAUUUUGACGAAGAAAAUGUUAAAGAAUCACUAAUGACAAAUUCCAGAAUGAAUAAAAACGGUAAAAUUGUAUUCGCAGUUGAAAAGAGCUUCGGUAAAAGUGUUGUUAGAGGACAAAUAAAAGGAGUUACGUGAAAGGAAUACACAGAAGCCUUUUCGUUAAAACGAAAAGUUUUAAAAAUAAUUACAAAUCAACCGUACGUCUAGCAUCUCGUAUCGAAAGUAAAAACGAUUCAAGAAUUCAUCACCAUACGAGUCUGUAACAAAAGUUCGGUAUCCCAGAAGUCGAAGCCCACCCGGUAUACACGUUCCUGCCAUGUAUCGUGUUAUAUGAAGUCUGCACGUGUACAUAUGUACUCAUACAUAACUGUACUCACAUCGAGCACAUAAGGGUUGAUAGUGCUCGGGCGAGCAAGCUACCCUUAUAUGCAAGGGCGUGGCCAAGGUCCACCAAUCAGAGAACAGAGAAGCCCCGAAAGCCCAAAUCGAAGCAAGUAAAAAUUUUAGCGGCCGUGUCAAACGCCACGCGUAAGGGGAUCAGCUCGGUUGAUCUGGGCUUACAUUUUCCUUACUUACCCUCUAUUCCCUUCUAGCGAGACUCGCAUCCAUCGGCUCCGCAUUUCACGUCUCACUCCACCUACCCAUCAGGAGCCACCCCAGGGCUUUUCUUCGUGGGCGAUGUGUAUCCACCUUAAAUAUAACGAUACGCUUACCGUUUGGAGUGGAAACGUUACUGACUUCUGCCGAGUCUUUUCAUCUUGGCCUGACUUCAAUCUAUUCUUCGUCCUUCCUCGCCGUGAAAAAGGCUCAAUCAUUUUCAAUCAAUCAAUUAAUCGUUCAGCCUAUAGCCGUCGAGAGGCACCAUUAGUUCCUAAUAUUCGCAUGGACAAUUUUAAUUUGGAUCUGUAAACUACGCUGAUGGAUUGACGAAAGGGAGCCAUGCGACGCCAAGGGGGGGCGUGCGUUUAAUAGCCCCUAGUGUUACCUCGGAGGCAUACUGCCAUUAAGAAUCCCACAAGACCAUCCCACCUUCCAUCCACCCUUCUUCCGCCGACAUCUUCAGCGCCACGACAUAUUACACUACGCCCUGGGGCGCAGAAUCCGGACUUGCCAUUACAAUGCUUAGAUAGUCCUGCCCGGAAAUCAAUAUGAUAACAACACGGUAUCAACGACCAAUCCUGUAAAAGGGGAAUGAAAUCAGUAUCGCCAGGAGCAAUAUAACUGCCAAGUCCAUAAGGUAUGCAGUCUGAUCAACGAUACUCUGUAAAGAAAAAUAAUGGAAAAAUCAUGGGGAAAAGUGAAAAGAAGUCAGAAACACACGGUACAACGUUGGCUCUGGUAUGCUCUCCUUGCACUGCUGGUUCACUCGUUUGAGAGUAACGUCGAAUAAAGUAUAUGACCGAGGUUACUAUUAACUCAUUAGAGAAAGUUCUAUGUAUUAUUAUUAAAUUCUCUUUGAAACUAUCCUGGCACGUACUUAGCCUACGGUACCUGCCGGUAGGGAAGGAUGGAUAAGGAAGAGGAAGGAAACAAGUGGGACGAAUAGAGGAAGAGCAGGAUAGACAUUGCCAAGUGAGAAGUAAGGUGCGAGUGAACUAAAAACGACAAGGAUAGAACAGAGAACUGUGCUUGGGGAGAGGAGCGUCUUAGAGAAAGCGUGUGGAGAAGGGAAACUGGGAAAGCAGCCAUCUUGCCACAAACUUGACUCCACCAAUCAGCGUCGAGAUGUGGUCACCGUUGUACUCCGAGUUCUCCCAGCCCCUCGGCCAUCUUCCAACCCUUUAAUUGUAAUCAAUUUACUCUGGCAAGACUCACGCAAGAAAAGGGGUACCACCUAUCCAGUAGUAGGCAGCAACAACGUAACCAUCAAGUUCUGCCAGGCCCAACGCGACUAUGGCUAAAUAAUUAGCGCAAGAGAUUAAUGGGCAAAAGUUAAGCAUUGUUAAUGAUCUUGUUGGCCUGUGCGAAAGAGUGCGUCACCCCUUCCUGAUUCGUACUGCUUCUUGUGUAAUCCACCCUUUGGGGCUAAAACAAGGAGUAUGUAUUACAGCAGGUUGAUCACCGGGACGCGUGUUCACGUCGUCGCUGUGUCGUCUUGGAGAACCGGAUGGAUCGGUUGGCUGGUACGUCAGGUUAUUUGAAGAAUGGAGUAUUAACCUGAAACGUAUUCAAUUCCGAACCUUGUUAUAAUGAACGGCGCGUGUUCGUGAAACGAGUUUACCACCCUUUAAGAGUUUAUAAGCACGACCCCCCUCACCUGGAACGAGUAGGGGUUGCUUAAGGUCUUAAGUUCCUGACUCUGCACCUGCCCAUGAAGAACAUGUCUCAGCGAUGACAGAAAGACGUUUUUGAUAUUUUUUUUUUCAAAGUCUUGGGCCUUGGUACUCGAUUGAACUGUACUCGGUUGUCAUGGCACUUUUUUUGGGGGAAAACAAUUACUUUUCUUUUCAAGAUUUGCAAAGGGAGAGACUGGUGUACGUCUUCGGUCGAUCAGGGGAUGGCGGAAUGGAUUGGACGUUAUCAGAAAGAGGAAUAACGUACAAUGGGAAAACAAGUGGUGUCCAAAGUCCUAAUGAUGUCGUUUGUUACUUCUUGAAUUAACGUGACAAUCAAGUAAUCCGCCAUGGCAUCUCCCUAAUAUUUUCGGAAGCCACGUAAAAUCGUGCACGAGGAAAUCUGCCAAUUGGAUCGAAUCGAAGGGACGUUUGCGGAGGAGAAUAAAAGGAAGAAGCGA
This is a long non-coding RNA of Cephus cinctus (wheat stem sawfly), 2862 nucleotides long. RefSeq lists it as uncharacterized. The transcript has 11 exons. The record is from RefSeq and is a predicted model, not a curated record. Lineage: Eukaryota; Metazoa; Arthropoda; Insecta; Hymenoptera; Cephidae.